This 277-nucleotide ribosomal RNA is filed under the name uncultured prokaryote. RNAcentral describes it as "partial 16S ribosomal RNA". It matches the Rfam family "Bacterial small subunit ribosomal RNA", at positions 524 to 800 of the family's 1533-position model. The record is from RNAcentral.
UACGGAGGAUCCGAGCGUUAUCCGGAUUUAUUGGGUUUAAAGGGUGCGCAGGCGGGAAAUUAAGUCGGCGGUGAAAUUUUGCAGCUCAACUGUAAAAGUGCCUUCGAAACUGGUUUCCUUGAGUGUAGAUGAAGUAGGCGGAAUUUGUGGUGUAGCGGUGAAAUGCAUAGAUAUCACGAGGAACUCCGAUUGCGCAGGCAGCUUACUAAACUACUACUGACGCUCAGGCACGAAGGCGUGGGGAUCAAACAGGAUUAGAUACCCCCGUAGUCCCUGA